RNAcentral lists this unclassified non-coding RNA (367 nucleotides) under Hevea brasiliensis (rubber tree). The record is from RNAcentral. Lineage: Eukaryota; Viridiplantae; Streptophyta; Magnoliopsida; Malpighiales; Euphorbiaceae.
AGAAAAAAGCUCCAUAGCAAAUAUCGUUGGCUUUAAAAAAGUAUUUUCGUACGAAGGGAUAUUUUGGCCGUACCGGUGGUGCGUUGCUCGUAAGGAUAAUGACACGCAGAAAACUUUCCGUAGGAGACAAUUCUCUGGAGGGGUACUUUCGUAAUUAGGUUUUGAUUAUAUUAUUAAUUUCUUGACAGAUAAUUUAGUUUGUUUCGUGGGAAAUUGUUUUCUGGGUUUUGAUUUUGAUAAUUCAGGAGAGACUGGACUUUUAGGUGAGCUGUCGUUGGCAGUAUAGCUUAUUGGUGGCACCUAGCUACAGUGAAUAUAAGCGAGUUAUAUCUGGUUAAUCCAUAAAAAGACUAAAAAAAAAAAGGAG